This 155-nucleotide ribosomal RNA is filed under the name Phaeophyscia endophoenicea. RNAcentral describes it as "5.8S ribosomal RNA". It matches the Rfam family "5.8S ribosomal RNA". Rfam says of the family: 5.8S ribosomal RNA (5.8S rRNA) is a component of the large subunit of the eukaryotic ribosome. It is transcribed by RNA polymerase I as part of the 45S precursor that also contains 18S and 28S rRNA. The record is from RNAcentral. Lineage: Eukaryota; Fungi; Ascomycota; Lecanoromycetes; Caliciales; Physciaceae.
AAAACUUUCAACAACGGAUCUCUUGGUUCCCGCAUCGAUGAAGAACGCAGCGAAAUGCGAAAAUUAAUGUGAAUUGCAGAAUUCCGUGAAUCAUCGAGUCUUUGAACGCACAUUGCGCCCUUUGGUAUUCCGAAGGGCAUGCCUGUUCGAGCGUC